CGGACAUCAUCCGAAAUCGUGUCAUUUCUAAAAGAGAGCUGUGUUCCCGCCAAAGUCUGCAAGGCGCCUCCCCGGAAUCACCACCGUCAAAAACGUCCAAACCUUCUACGCCACUACUCUUGGGACAGAGGAGUCGGGAUAGAACUCCGUGCGCCAGCCCUAUGGCAAGAAGAGGCGUCGUAGGCGAGCGCCAGAAUUGUUUAAUUAAGAGUGAUCGAACACCCCCAGGAUCUGCCGAAAUUCGCAAGAUCACCCUGAAGAAAUUGGAAGGAGCCACUCCGAAGAUUUCCCAGAUGAUCCUUCGCCAACGUGCCGUACAGUCGGCUCAUUGUACAAGAUCAACUGACGUACCAAAGUCACCCUUGCCAUCAGUUUGUCUAUACAAGGAGUUGACCAAGAUCCGAGCCCUCUCCGUAGAUAGCAGCGCUAUGUUGAAUCCUGCUCCUGGUGGCAAAGGUGAAGCGGAGUUUACACGUCGCCCUCGCGAGUGUGGUCUGUUAGGAUUCGAAAAAUCUUGACUAGAAUGCGUUGAGGGACGUUACUACAAUGCAGGUGCCAGAAGGUCCAUAUAGAGCGAUGAACAAGCGAGACCUAUUUGACCGAGAAACCUUGCCAAUGACCUUUGUGCGACGAUUGCCUGCAUUAACGACGUUUAAAGCCUGGAUCCACCACUGACCUGAAGAUUUAAGUACCAAAAAAUUAAAAAUUUUAUGAGCAAAUAAGCUAAUGCUUUACUUUUACAAACAAAACUGUCUUGAUAUCACUGGUAAAGGGAAAACCAACAAAUUUUCUAUUUUUUGCUUUUAAAGAUUUGCAUCUGCUUUUAAACUUCAUUCUAGUUGUAAUAUGUAUAAGAUUUCCAAAUGGCAUUCUAGUGCUUUUGCCUCGUUCUCACGCUCGUGUGUGAACU
This is a long non-coding RNA of Liolophura sinensis, 910 nucleotides long. RefSeq lists it as uncharacterized. Lineage: Eukaryota; Metazoa; Mollusca; Polyplacophora; Chitonida; Chitonidae. The record is from RefSeq and is a predicted model, not a curated record. The transcript has 3 exons.